Long non-coding RNA from Asparagus officinalis (garden asparagus), 792 nucleotides. RefSeq lists it as uncharacterized. The record is from RefSeq and is a predicted model, not a curated record. NCBI's taxonomy places the organism in Eukaryota, Viridiplantae, Streptophyta, Magnoliopsida, Asparagales, Asparagaceae. The transcript is spliced from 4 exons.
ACCACGAAAUAACAGAGUGAAGAGAGAGGCUGAGAACAGAAUUUUCUUCUUGGAGCAGUUCUGGUGUUGCCGCUUGAUUGAGGGUCAAACGUGCUCUGAUUGUAGCCAAAUUUUGACACUUUGUUCCUGUCAUCCCAAGCUACAUAUCCAACGGUUGGAUUGUCAUUUCGAGCUUCCAAAGUCGUCGCACGUCCACGGGAGGCGGAAACAUCAACACCCGCGCCUACUAAUCCAAACCAAGUACCGAGCCGGUCAGCACAAUUAGACCAAAGAGAGCAUCAAAUUCCUACAACAAGAAACAACUCAGAUACAGAUGUAACCGAGAACAAUCCUAAUUUUCAGAAGAAAUAGAUGUAGGAGCGAAGAUGAAGAAUGAAGUGGAGCUUUCAUGUUCAACACAUUGGAUGAAGAAAUUGCAUCCACAUGUGCAGUUAACAAGUUCAAUUUCCACAUGAACUAAACCUGUUGUUGAAGAUAUUUUUACGUGGUCCCUAUUGUUAUUCCUUUGAAAUUGUACAAAAUUAAUGAAGUCAUUUUAUCUGCUCAAAAAGAAAGACUAAAUUUCGGACCAGGAUAUCAACGUGACCUCAAGGCCAAUUCCCGGAUGCUAGAUGCCAAAUGUGAUAUCCAAUAUUUUUGUGUGUAUAAAUAUAUGUUUGGAAAUUGAUUUGUAAAGUAUUUGUAUAAAUAUAUGUUUGUCAGUAUGAAUAUAUGUUUGUCAGUAUGAAACCUGUGGGAUUGCUGUUGGAAUUGGUUAUGUAAAGUCCACAAUUCUGGGACAUGCUGUAUAUA